UGCGUGGCGGUAUCUCUGGACGG
RNAcentral lists this microRNA (23 nucleotides) under Callorhinchus milii (elephant shark). RNAcentral's name for it is "eshark_NOVEL_317". Lineage: Eukaryota; Metazoa; Chordata; Chondrichthyes; Chimaeriformes; Callorhinchidae. The record is from RNAcentral.